UACCAGCUCUCCGAGUGGUGUGGAUGUUUAUUGGGCCUAAAGCAUCCGUAGCUGGCUGGGCAAGUCCCCUGUUAAAUCCACCGAUUUAAUCGUUGGUGUGCGGGGGAUACUGUUCGGCUAGGGGACGGGAGAGGCCGACGGUAUUUUCGGGGUAGGGGUGAAAUCCUAUAAUCCCGGGAAGACCACCAGUGGCGAAGGCUGUCGGCUAGAACGCGCCCGACGGUGAGGGAUGAAAGCUGGGGGAGCGAACCGGAUUAGAUACCCGGGUAGUCCCAGCUGUAAACGAUGCAGGCUAGGUGUUUGGGCGGCCACGUGCCGCUCUAGUGCCGCAGAGAAGUCGUUAAAGCCUGCCGCCUGGGGAGUACGGCCGCAAGGCUGAAACUUAAAGGAAUUGGCGGGGGAGCACCACAAGGGGUGAAGCUUGCGGUUU
This 430-nucleotide ribosomal RNA is filed under the name uncultured archaeon. Its description in RNAcentral is "bacterial SSU rRNA". It matches the Rfam family "Archaeal small subunit ribosomal RNA", at positions 474 to 903 of the family's 1478-position model. The record is from RNAcentral.